CAGUAAGUAGUUUAAAUAAAAUAUUAAUUUUGGAGAUUAAUGAUAAGUAUAUGCUUGUUACUGA
RNAcentral lists this transfer RNA (64 nucleotides) under Macroscytus japonensis. RNAcentral describes it as "tRNA-Pro". Lineage: Eukaryota; Metazoa; Arthropoda; Insecta; Hemiptera; Cydnidae. The record is from RNAcentral.